RNAcentral lists this ribosomal RNA (465 nucleotides) under uncultured bacterium. Its description in RNAcentral is "partial 16S ribosomal RNA". It matches the Rfam family "Bacterial small subunit ribosomal RNA", at positions 339 to 795 of the family's 1533-position model. The record is from RNAcentral.
CUACGGGGCGCAGCAGUGGGGAAUAUUGGACAAUGGGGGAAACCCUGAUCCAGCAAUGCCGCGUGUGUGAAGAAGGCCUGCGGGUUGUAAAGCACUUUCGGUUGGGAGGACUGCUUCUAGCACUAAUAUUGUUGGAAGUUGAUGUUACCUUCAGAAGAAGCACCGGGUAACUCCGUGCCAGCAGCCGCGGUGAUACGGAGGGUGCAAGCGUUAAUCGGAAUUACUGGGCGUAAAGCGCGCGUAGGCGGCUAGAUCAGUCGGGUGUGAAAGCCCCGGGCUUAACCUGGGAACUGCAUCCGAUACUGUCUAGCUUGAGUACAGGAGAGGAGAGUGGAAUUCCACAUGUAGCGGUGAAAUGCGUAGAUAUGUGGAGGAACACCAAUGGCGAAGGCAGCUCUCUGGCCUGAUACUGACGCUGAGGUGCGAAAGCGUGGGGAGCAAACAGGAUUAGAUACCCUCGUAGUC